RNAcentral lists this non-coding RNA (220 nucleotides) under Symbiodinium sp. CCMP2430. Lineage: Eukaryota; Dinophyceae; Suessiales; Symbiodiniaceae. The record is from RNAcentral.
CAAUGAAGAAAGGAAAAGAACACAAAAGAAGCAAAUGAAAGAAACACGCGCUCCGCUUGUUUUCAUUCCAUUUGUUCUUUCUGUUCUUUUCGUUCUUCAUUCACUUCUCCUCUUGUUCCCUUUGCCUUUAAAUUAAUUACAAAUGAAGUGCGUGAAUUAAAUUAAAAUAAAACAACACAAAACAACACGCUCAUUCAUGGUUCGUUCCUUUGUUUUCUUU